CUACGGGUGUGGCAUGUGCCUCCCAUGUAAAGUCACUAAAAGUACUAAGUGACAUUUAGAAAAUAUAGAGGAUAUUAUUCACAAACCCUAUAUCAUCAAAGACCACCUCACUUGUCAUACUAAGGGCAUUAUAUAUAUCUUAAAAUGCCCCUGCAAUUUAAUAUAUUUAGGAAGAACCAUUAGACCUUUAAAGGUUAGAAUUGCCGAACACAUCCGCAAUAUUAAAAAUGGUCUAGAAACUCAUAGUGUGUCCUUACAUUUUAAAGAGACCCAUAACCAAAAUCCAGAAAAUCUGUUCUUUUGUGCAAUAAAGGAAGUCAAACGAGACUGGAGAGGGGGUAACUAUAUAAAGUUAUUG
Pelobates cultripes (western spadefoot toad) is the source of this 358-nucleotide non-coding RNA. Lineage: Eukaryota; Metazoa; Chordata; Amphibia; Anura; Pelobatidae. The record is from the annotation of a GenBank genome assembly.